RNAcentral lists this ribosomal RNA (245 nucleotides) under uncultured bacterium. RNAcentral's name for it is "partial 16S ribosomal RNA". It matches the Rfam family "Bacterial small subunit ribosomal RNA", at positions 524 to 768 of the family's 1533-position model. The record is from RNAcentral.
UACGGGGGGUGCAAGCGUUGUUCGGAAUCAUUGGGCGUAAAGAGCGUGUAGGCGGCUUGAUAAGUCAGAUGUGAAAGCCCUGGGCUUAACCCAGGAAGUGCAUUUGAAACUGUCUGGCUAGAGUAAGGAAGAGGAAAGUGGUAUUCCUGGUGUAGAGGUGAAAUUCGUAGAUGUCAGGAGGAACACCGGUGGCGAAGGCGGCUUUCUGGUCCUAUACUGACGCUGAGACGCGAGAGCGUGGGUAG